CCUACGGGAGGCAGCAGUGAGGAAUAUUGGUCAAUGGGCGGAAGCCUGAACCAGCCAAGCCGCGUGAAGGAUGAAGGCGCCACGCGUUGUAAACUUCUUUUGUCGGGGAACAAAGUGCGCCACGUGUGCCUUUCUGAGUGUACCUUAAGAAAAAGCAUCGGCUAACUCCGUGCCAGCAGCCGCGGUAAUACGGAGGAUGCGAGCGUUAUCCGGAUUUAUUGGGUUUAAAGGGUGCGUAGGCGGUCGGGAAAGUCAGCGGUAAAAGCCCGGGGCUCAACCCCGGCGAGCCGUUGAAACUGGCGGACUAGAGACGGCGAGAGGUACGCGGAAUGCGCGGUGUAGCGGUGAAAUGCUUAGAUAUCGCGCAGAACUCCGAUUGCGAAGGCAGCAUACCGGCGGCGGACUGACGCUGAGGCACGAAAGCGUGGGUAUCGAACAGGAUUAGAUACCCGUGUAGUC
RNAcentral lists this ribosomal RNA (459 nucleotides) under uncultured bacterium. RNAcentral's name for it is "partial 16S ribosomal RNA". It matches the Rfam family "Bacterial small subunit ribosomal RNA", at positions 338 to 795 of the family's 1533-position model. The record is from RNAcentral.